UGGGGGAUAUUGCACAAUGGGCGAAAGCCUGAUGCAGCGACGCCGCGUGGGGGAUGAAGGCCUUCGGGUUGUAAACUUCUUUUGCUCUGAACAAGGCGCACCAUGGGGUGUGUUGAGUGUAGGGGUUGAUUAGCGCCGGCCAACUACGUGCCAGCAGCCGCGGUAAUACGUAGGGCGCGAGCGUUGUCCGGAAUUAUUGGGCGUAAAGGGCUUGUAGGUGGCUGGUUGCGUCUGUCGUGAAAGCUCAUGGCUUAACUGUGGGUUUGCGGUGGGUACGGGCUGGCUUGAGUGCAGUAGGGGAGGCUGGAAUUCCUUGUGUAGCGGUGGAAUGCGCAGAUAUCAGGGGGAAUACCGGUGGCGAAGGCGGGUCUCUGGGCUGUUACUGACACUGAGGAGCGAAAGCAUGGGGAGCGAACAGG
Molecule: ribosomal RNA, 419 nt
Filed under: bacterium
Lineage: Bacteria
Description: partial 16S ribosomal RNA
Rfam family: Bacterial small subunit ribosomal RNA
Source: RNAcentral